AGUGAACGCUGGCGGUAGGCCUAACACAUGCAAGUCGAACGGCAGCACAGUAAGAGCUUGCUCUUACGGGUGGCGAGUGGCGGACGGGUGAGGAAUACAUCGGAAUCUACUUUUUCGUGGGGGAUAACGUAGGGAAACUUACGCUAAUACCGCAUACGACCUACGGGUGAAAGCAGGGGAUCUUCGGACCUUGCGCGAUUGAAUGAGCCGGUGUCGGAUUAGCUAGUUGGCGGGGUAAAGGCCCACCAAGGCGACGAUCCGUAGCUGGUCUGAGAGGAUGGUGAGCCACACAGGAAGUGAGACACGGUCCAGAGUCCGACGGAAGGCAGCAGGGGGGAAGAUUGGAAAAUGGGCGCAAGCCUGAUCCAGCCAUACAGCGGGGGUGAAGAAGGCCUGCGGGUGGUAAAGCCCUUUUGUUGGGAAAGAAAAGCAGCAGGUUAAUACCCCGCUGUUCGGAGGGUACCCAAAGAAUAAGCACCGGCUAACUGCGU
RNAcentral lists this ribosomal RNA (491 nucleotides) under uncultured bacterium. Its description in RNAcentral is "partial 16S ribosomal RNA". It matches the Rfam family "Bacterial small subunit ribosomal RNA", at positions 29 to 506 of the family's 1533-position model. The record is from RNAcentral.